Unclassified non-coding RNA from Lonchura striata (white-rumped munia), 96 nucleotides. It matches the Rfam family "Y RNA". Rfam says of the family: Y RNAs are components of the Ro ribonucleoprotein particle (Ro RNP), in association with Ro60 and La proteins. The Y RNAs and Ro60 and La proteins are well conserved, but the function of the Ro RNP is not known. Lineage: Eukaryota; Metazoa; Chordata; Aves; Passeriformes; Estrildidae. The record is from Ensembl.
GGCUGGUCCGAUGGUAGUGGGCACUCAGAAGUUAUUACUGCUAGUUAAGCUAACCUUUCUAUAUUCCACCCCACUGCUAACCUCGACUGGUCUUUU